Molecule: ribosomal RNA, 465 nt
Filed under: Vreelandella stevensii
Lineage: Bacteria; Pseudomonadati; Pseudomonadota; Gammaproteobacteria; Oceanospirillales; Halomonadaceae
Description: partial 16S ribosomal RNA
Rfam family: Bacterial small subunit ribosomal RNA
Source: RNAcentral
CCUACGGGGGGCAGCAGUGGGGAAUAUUGGACAAUGGGGGCAACCCUGAUCCAGCCAUGCCGCGUGUGUGAAGAAGGCCCUCGGGUUGUAAAGCACUUUCAGUGAGGAAGAACGCCUGGUGGUUAAUACCCAUCAGGAAAGACAUCACUCACAGAAGAAGCACCGGCUAACUCCGUGCCAGCAGCCGCGGUAAUACGGAGGGUGCGAGCGUUAAUCGGAAUUACUGGGCGUAAAGCGCGCGUAGGUGGCUUGAUAAGCCGGUUGGGAAAGCCCCGGGCUCAACCUGGGAACGGCAUCCGGAACUGUCAAGCUAGAGUGCAGGAGAGGAAGGUAGAAUUCCCGGUGUAGCGGUGAAAUGCGUAGAGAUCGGGAGGAAUACCAGUGGCGAAGGCGGCCUUCUGGACUGACACUGACACUGAGGUGCGAAAGCGUGGGUAGCAAACAGGAUUAGAUACCCGAGUAGUC